RNAcentral lists this ribosomal RNA (1098 nucleotides) under Triticum aestivum (bread wheat). RNAcentral describes it as "partial small subunit ribosomal RNA". Lineage: Eukaryota; Viridiplantae; Streptophyta; Magnoliopsida; Poales; Poaceae. The record is from RNAcentral.
CAAAUACAUUUAAGCCCAAUACACCGACCAACUCCCACGCACGCUCGUCUCUCCUCCUUUCCCCCAACCAGACCUUAUCUGUUCUCCUCCUUUCCGCAAAUCAACCCACAUCUUUCACAGUUUCACUCGCUUCUCGCUGUUGCCAACUGUUGGCCGCCGGCCUUGCCAACUCUCGCUGCCCACCACAGCUAGGGCCCUCCAAGCCGCCACGCCGGGUGCCGGGUGUCUGCUGGUUUUGGCUGCUGGCUGCUGCCGCUUCUCCUCUCGCUGCCUUCUCCGCUCGUGCUACCUGCUGCCGUGCUGCGGACCACUGUUGCUGCCGCCGGCUCAUAAACUAAUCGGUGAACUGUUGUUGAAGCGCCGAAGGAGCAAGACUGCUGCAAGAGCAAGGUGACACUGGUGAAACAGAAAACCAUGGUCCAGGAGAGCAUAUCUGUAGUUAUUGGUUGUAGGCGUCUUUUGGUCAGUCCGGUGUAUUCCACAGUUGUGGCUAUGGAGCAUUUUUGGCCAGUUCCGUGUAUUCUACGGUUGUGGCUAUGGAGCACUGGAUAAUAGUAAUUAUCCACAAUAGCAGGAUUAAAGGUGCGCUCUAUGCUGAGAAAAACUGAAGGAAAGCUGAAAGCAUGAGCUGGGGUAAAAGAUCAAUAAUCACAGAACAAAGCAGUAAGGAAUAAGGACAUCAAUGGCCAAUGGGUCUACGGAAAAUACCAACAAUGGCAUGUUAAGAAGCCGGUAUAAUCUUGCAAGUUCCACAUAAUCAUGAAUAUGCAAUGAAAAUGGAUGCAGAACUUCAAUGUAGCAGAAACUAUCCACAAGAGAUAUGCAAAAGCAGUACCAAAACACAUUUUAUUCAAUUGAUACUGCAUAUACGCACUUUAAAGGAGACAAAGAAAUCAACUUGAUCUAUCAAAGGUCAGACCAUUUGGCAAAUAUGAAAUAAUAGGGCCUGUCAUCCAUGCUACUCCAGAUUAUGUUUGGUUGCAAGCAAGAGGUCCAUGUGUUCAGAAUCGAUCCAGGACAUAAGAUGGAUCUUUUAAGUUUCAUAUAAAAAGGUCAUCCAAAGAUUAUGCAUGUACCAAAGGACACACCUGAAAUCGG